AUCAGCAAUGAUACGGUGAAUACGUUUCCGGACCUUGCACACACCGCCCGUCAAGCCAUGGAAGCUGGGUGUACCUAAAGUCGGUAACCGUAAGGAGCCGCCUAGGGUAAAACUGGUGACUGGGGCUAAGUCGUAACAAGGUAACCGUA
This 149-nucleotide ribosomal RNA is filed under the name uncultured bacterium. Its description in RNAcentral is "partial 16S ribosomal RNA". It matches the Rfam family "Bacterial small subunit ribosomal RNA", at positions 1348 to 1504 of the family's 1533-position model. The record is from RNAcentral.